Molecule: unclassified non-coding RNA, 208 nt
Filed under: uncultured Marasmius
Lineage: Eukaryota; Fungi; Basidiomycota; Agaricomycetes; Agaricales; Tricholomataceae
Description: sequence contains ITS1
Source: RNAcentral
UUGAAAUGCUUUGGAGAAGUACUGUUGCUGGCCUCUUAACAGAGGCAUGUGCACGUCUUCUUUAAAUCUAUUCAUCCACCUGUGCACUUUUUGUAGAAGUUCUUGUGAGGUUUUGGUUGUGGACUUAGGUCUGCAGUUGAUUCUUUGCGAGUCUUCUAUGUCUUACAAACUCUAUGUUUAGUGAUGUCUGAGUACUAUAUAAUAUUUA